UGCCAGCAGCCGCGGUAAUACGGAGGGGGUUAGCGUUGUUCGGAAUUACUGGGCGUAAAGCGCACGUAGGCGGAUUAGUAAGUUAGGGGUGAAAUCCCGGGGCUCAACCCCGGAACUGCCUCUAAUACUGCUAGUCUUGAGUUCGAGAGAGGUGAGUGGAAUUUCGGGUGUAGCGGUGAAAUGCAUAGAGAUCCGAAGGAAUACCAGUGGCGAAGGCGGCUUCCUGGUCUAAAACUGACGCUGAGGUGCGAAAGCGUGGGUAGCAAACGGGAUUAGAUA
Molecule: ribosomal RNA, 279 nt
Filed under: uncultured bacterium
Lineage: Bacteria
Description: partial 16S ribosomal RNA
Rfam family: Bacterial small subunit ribosomal RNA
Source: RNAcentral